AGCGAACGCUGGCGGCAGGCUUAACACAUGCAAGUCGAGCGGGCAUCUUCGGAUGUCAGCGGCAGACGGGUGAGUAACACGUGGGAACGUACCCUUCGGUUCGGAACAACUCUGGGAAACUGGAGCUAAUACCGGAUACGCCCUUAUGGGGAAAGGUUUACUGCCGAAGGAUCGGCCCGCGUCUGAUUAGCUAGUUGGUGGGGUAACGGCCUACCAAGGCGACGAUCAGUAGCUGGUCUGAGAGGAUGAUCAGCCACACUGGGACUGAGACACGGCCCAGACUCCUACGGGAGGCAGCAGUGGGGAAUAUUGGGCAAUGGGCGCAAGCCUGAUCCAGCCAUGCCGCGUGAGUGAUGAAGGCCUUAGGGUUGUAAAGCUCUUUUGUCCGGGACGAUAAUGACGGUACCGGAAGAAUAAGCCCCGGCUAACUUCGUG
This 435-nucleotide ribosomal RNA is filed under the name uncultured bacterium. RNAcentral describes it as "partial 16S ribosomal RNA". It matches the Rfam family "Bacterial small subunit ribosomal RNA", at positions 29 to 507 of the family's 1533-position model. The record is from RNAcentral.